UAGCACAUAGCUGCCCUUAAGAUAGUAGCUCGCCGUCAUGGGGUGUCGGGGGUCGGAGGUUCAAAUCCUCUCGUGCCGACCA
Molecule: transfer RNA, 82 nt
Filed under: Citrobacter freundii
Lineage: Bacteria; Pseudomonadati; Pseudomonadota; Gammaproteobacteria; Enterobacterales; Enterobacteriaceae
Description: tRNA-Pro
Source: RNAcentral